UUUCUUUAUAAGUUGUGAAUGUGAUUGUUUGAAUCUCAGUUCUCUGUUGAUUCUGAACUUUGCUCUUUGUCACCAUAGAAACUUUCUAGGGUUAGGAGUUUGUUUUGGUGAUUGCUCAUAUUCCAAGACUUUUUUUUUGCCUAUGUAUUCAGAAUUCUGAAAGUUGAUGAUUCUGUCUCCUCUCCUUCUGACUUGCAGGACUGGGUACUGUGAGCUAAAUUGCCCUGAGGCUAGAUUUUCACUGCAACAGUGUAGGCUUGAACGGCCUCAGCACUAUGGACUUCUGGGUCUCACUGCAGCCUGGUGCCAGGGCCUGGGACUUCAAGAGCUGUAUCUGAGAGAGUGGAGAAGAAAAAGAAAAUCCAUUGAGGAGGAGGAGAAAGAGGAAGAAGAAGAAAAAGAAACAAAAGAAGUAUAUAAGAGGAAAAAGGAGAGUAGGAAGAAAGAGAAGAAACACUUCAUCUUGCAAUCUGAGUCUAUCAUAUCUCUAUAUGGAGUUAGUCCUUUGGAAUUGUGGUGGGUAAGUGUUAAAAGUUGUUAUGUCUCUCAAAAUUGAUUAUUUUUCUUACAUAUUAUAUUGUU
This 582-nucleotide long non-coding RNA is filed under the name Monodelphis domestica (gray short-tailed opossum). Its description in RNAcentral is "lncRNA (ENSMODG00000045715.1)". Lineage: Eukaryota; Metazoa; Chordata; Mammalia; Didelphimorphia; Didelphidae. The record is from RNAcentral.